This 466-nucleotide ribosomal RNA is filed under the name uncultured bacterium. RNAcentral's name for it is "partial 16S ribosomal RNA". It matches the Rfam family "Bacterial small subunit ribosomal RNA", at positions 339 to 795 of the family's 1533-position model. The record is from RNAcentral.
CUACGGGCGGCUCCAGUGGGGAAUAUUGGACAAUGGGGGAAACCCUGAUCCAGCAAUGCCGCGUGUGUGAAGAAGGCCUGCGGGUUGUAAAGCACUUUCGGUUGGGAGGACUGCUUCUAGCACUAAUAUUGUUGGAAGUUGACGUUACCUUCAGAAGAAGCACCGGCUAACUCCGUGCCAGCAGGCCGCGGUAAUACGGAGGGUGCAAGCGUUAAUCGGAAUUACUGGGCGUAAAGCGCGCGUAGGCGGCUAGAUUAGCCGGGUGUGAAAGCCCCGGGCUUAACCUGGGAACUGCAUCCGAUACUGUCUAGCUUGAGUACAGGAGAGGAGAGUGGAAUUCCACAUGUAGCGGUGAAAUGCGUAGAUAUGUGGAGGAACACCAAUGGCGAAGGCAGCUCUCUGGCCUGAUACUGACGCUGAGGUGCGAAAGCGUGGGGAGCAAACAGGAUUAGAUACCCUUGUAGUC